GGAUUAGAUACCCUGGUAGUCCACGCCGUAAACGAUGUUCACUCGCUGUUUGCGAUACACAGUAAGCGGCUGAGCGAAAGCAUUAAGUGAACCACCUGGGGAGUACGAUCGCAAGGUUGAAACUCAAAGGAAUUGACGGGGGCCCGCACAAGCGGAGGAACAUGUGGUUUAAUUCGAUGAUACGCGAGGAACCUUACCUGGGCUUAAAUGUAGAUUGCAUAGAUUAGAGAUAGUCUUUUACUUCGGUACUAUCUACAAGGUGCUGCAUGGUUGUCGUCAGCUCGUGUUGC
This 290-nucleotide ribosomal RNA is filed under the name uncultured bacterium. Its description in RNAcentral is "partial 16S ribosomal RNA". It matches the Rfam family "Bacterial small subunit ribosomal RNA", at positions 775 to 1068 of the family's 1533-position model. The record is from RNAcentral.